AGUGGAGCAAUCCAUGAGUACAGUGGCGUACGGGUGAGUAACACGUGGGUAAUCUGCCCUUUGGUGUGGAAUAACCCUGGGAAACCGGGGCUAAUACCGCAUAAGCUCGAGAGAGGAAAGCAGCAAUGCGCCGAAGGAGGAGCCCGCGGCCGAUUAGCUGGUUGGUGAGGUAAGAGCUCACCAAGGCAAAGAUCGGUAGCCGGCCUGAGAGGGCACACGGCCACACUGGCACUGAAACACGGGCCAGACUCCUACGGGAGGCAGCAGUGGGGAAUCUUGCACAAUGGGGGAAACCCUGAUGCAGCGACGCCGCGUGAGCGAUGAAGCCCUUCGGGGUGUAAAGCUCUUUCGGCAGGGAAGAUGAUGACGGUACCUGCAGAAGCAGCUGCGGCUAACUACGUGCCAGCAGCCGCGGUAAUACGUAGGCAGCAAGCGUUGUUCGGAGUUACUGGGCGUAAAGGGUGUGUAGGCGGUUGCUUAAGUUUGGUGUGAAAUCUCCCGGCUCAACUGGGAGGGUGCGCCGAAUACUGAGUGACUCGAGUGCGGGAGAGGAAGGUGGAAUUCCUGGUGUAGCGGUGAAAUGCGUAGAUAUCAGGAGGAACACCGGUGGUGUAGACGGCUUUCUGGACCGUAACUGACGCUGAGACACGAAAGCGUGGGUAGCAAACAGGAUUAGAUACCCUGGUAGUCCACGCCCUAAACGAUGCACAUU
Molecule: ribosomal RNA, 712 nt
Filed under: uncultured bacterium
Lineage: Bacteria
Description: bacterial SSU rRNA
Rfam family: Bacterial small subunit ribosomal RNA
Source: RNAcentral